RNAcentral lists this long non-coding RNA (1184 nucleotides) under Homo sapiens (human). RNAcentral describes it as "HSALNT0396525". The record is from RNAcentral. Lineage: Eukaryota; Metazoa; Chordata; Mammalia; Primates; Hominidae.
UCCCAAAGUGCUGGGAUUACAGGCUUGAGCCACUGCGCCUGGCAGAUGCCACAAUUUUUUUUUCUUUCUUUACACAGGUGCUGAUGAACUCAGGUGUAAUUAACCCUAAGGGGUAAAUUAUUCACUAAGUGCAGUAAUAGGGUCCAAUUUUUAUGACCAGGUUUUCAGUUCUUUGAUAUUGUCCUACAUUCAGAAAUCACAAAUGAAAAAUACUGGAAUGUGUGACGUGAACAAUGUCUUGGAGGUUAACAUCCAGGUUUUUACAUAUUAGAUGUAACAACAUGAAAGCUGGUACCAUCUGGGAACCAAAGGAACUGUCCCUGAGAACACAGAAUUUUAGGGACAUCAAUUAUUAAGAGUUUACAUGGAAGCAGAAGUGCUCCUAGAUGUUUCCAUUAUCUAGAUAGAAAAAUUCAACAGAUGAGCCCCAGUGCCAGUGCGCGUGACAUUUCCCUGAAGCCACAGCCCUUGUCACCCCCUGCAAAGCUCUGAAGUUGUGCACAGGUAGGCCAGGUGGCAGAUUUCUCUCAAAAGCGGCUGAGCUCGCGCUCUGGCUAGGGAAGGCAGAGGCCUGCGGCACAAAGUACAUUGUCUUAGACAUCAGGACAGUGUCUAUAGCAGUUUAGGAAAGAAGGCGGCUCCCUGGGCUGGAGACGACGCAAUGCUCUGGGAAGACCCCUGGGUGCGGGUGAGAGAGGAAUCCGAGCUGCACAAGGCCAAUGAGGGGAGGACGACCCGCCCGAUUUAGAUAAAGGUAACAAGAAAUUUCAGCUUCCGGCAUGAUGGGCGAAGGCCCCCACCUUCAGCCUCGCUCCUCCAUGCCUUCAGAGCUGUUCCGCCAUGCAGACGGGGAGCCUGCCUGUUCUUUAACCUCUCCUACCUGAUGGGAGAGGACAAGCUACCAGGACAGCUUGUCUCACCAAGAAAUUGUGAUACCGCAUCCCCCAACGUGCUGGCUUCCUGACUUCCAAAGUUGCGGCAAGGUAAGAAGAACUACAGAGGAAGAACCUAAUGCAGACGUUUCCCAGGAGACUUUAACUGAAGUAUCAGCAAACUGAAAGGUAACGAGAGAAUCUUGUGCCUCUGAGGGUGUCUUUCCCAUGGAUCCCUGCUCAGUUGCCUUUCACGGGCCCCCUGAUUUGCGUGAACUCCUGACCUCAGAUGAUCCGCCUGCCUUGGCCCUC